This 264-nucleotide ribosomal RNA is filed under the name uncultured bacterium. Its description in RNAcentral is "partial 16S ribosomal RNA". It matches the Rfam family "Bacterial small subunit ribosomal RNA", at positions 793 to 1055 of the family's 1533-position model. The record is from RNAcentral.
GUCCACGCCGUAAACGAUGGGUACUAGGUGUUGUGAGCUUAACACUCGCAGUGCCGACGCUAACGCAUUAAGUACCCCGCCUGGGGAGUACGGUCGCAAGAUUAAAACUCAAAGGAAUUGACGGGGCCCGCACAAGCGGUGGAGCAUGUGGUUCAAUUCGACGCAACGCGAAGAACCUUACCUGGGCUUGACAUCUGGAGAAUCCCCUUGAAAGAGGGGAGUGCUCGAAAGAGAGCUCCAAGACAGGUGCUGCAUGGCUGUCGU